Tribolium castaneum (red flour beetle) is the source of this 843-nucleotide long non-coding RNA. RefSeq lists it as uncharacterized. The transcript is spliced from 3 exons. The record is from RefSeq and is a predicted model, not a curated record. NCBI's taxonomy places the organism in Eukaryota, Metazoa, Arthropoda, Insecta, Coleoptera, Tenebrionidae.
UUAUGUCAUGUGUAAACAAAUCCAUGACAGAGAAGAAUGUUAAAAUUAUGUCAUCGUCCCGAUAAAUGACAAUUCGGGGUCUCCUUAUACGGGCCCAAAGUCUAGUGUUUCACACUUUACGGUGGUGUUUAAACAGUAAUUGGGUCAGUUUGUUCACAACUCGCACAUGGUCCGCCUUGCUAAUAAAUCUAUAAAUAUGUGCCGCAUAAACAAAGGAAUCAUCACCGGAAAUAGGAGAGUGCCGCCGGAUUUUUUAAGGGCGGCAAGUUCACGAAUUCUCGGUUUCAUUCAAAAGGAAAGUGUAAACGGUGUUGGAACAACAAACAGGAGUGUUGGUACAAAUGUGCAGGCCUGCUUUCGACGGGAAUAUUAAUAGCAAUUAAACGCAUUUUUCGUAAUUGGGGAAAUGCUGUAAAUUGGGAGUGAUUUUAUUCCGGCUAUUUUUAAGAAGAGGGAUUUGGAGGAGAAAAAUAUGUGCAACGGGCGGGUGUUAAAAUUUUAUGGAAUUUCCUCGUGGCAGGUGUUGUAAUUUCUCCCAAUAGAUAUUUCGGGUGUUUAGUCUGCCGAGUUCGGUGAUCUAGAAUUUUGAUUUAAGAAGACGGAUUGUUGGGAAAUUGUAAACAAAGUUCGGCGCCGAUAGAGAAUUGGGGAAAUCUAGAGAAAUAAAUACUUUUUCCAUGUCCGACAGGAAGACUGAAAAGGUUCCACAACAAAACUCCUAGUUUAGACAUAAUUUCUAUAAUUUCAAUACGACUAUGAAUCUGUUCUUAUAUCUUGUAACAGUUAUUUUUUUAUUUAGAGAAGGUUAAAAUAGUAUUAAAAUAGUUAAAAUAGUCUAUGUAU